UAGGGAAUCUUCGGCAAUGGGGGGAACCCUGACCGAGCAACGCCGCGUGAGUGAAGAAGGUUUUCGGAUCGUAAAGCUCUGUUGUUAAGGAAGAACGAGUGUGAGAAUGGAAAGUUCAUGCUGUGACGGUACUUAACCAGAAAGGGACGGCUAACUACGUGCCAGCAGCCGCGGUAAUACGUAGGUCCCGAGCGUUGUCCGGAUUUAUUGGGCGUAAAGCGAGCGCAGGCGGUUAGAAAAGUCUGAAGUGAAAGGCAGUGGCUCAACCAUUGUAGGCUUUGGAAACUGUUUAACUUGAGUGCAGAAGGGGAGAGUGGAAUUCCAUGUGUAGCGGUGAAAUGCGUAGAUAUAUGGAGGAACACCGGUGGCGAAAGCGGCUCUCUGGUCUGUAACUGACGCUGAGGCUCGAAAGCGUGGGGAGCGAACAGGAUUAGAUACCCUGGUAGUCCACGCCGUAACGAUGAGUGCUAGGUGUUAGGUCCUUUCCGGGACUUAGUGCCGCAGCUAACGCAUUAAGCACUCCGCCUGGGGAGUACGACCGCAAGGUU
RNAcentral lists this ribosomal RNA (548 nucleotides) under uncultured bacterium. RNAcentral describes it as "bacterial SSU rRNA". It matches the Rfam family "Bacterial small subunit ribosomal RNA", at positions 355 to 895 of the family's 1533-position model. The record is from RNAcentral.